GUGCUCUCUUUGGCAGCACAUAUACUAUAAUUGAAACAAUACAGAGAAGAUUAGCAUGGCCCCUGCGCAAGGAUGACAUACAAAUUUAUGAAGCAUUCCAUGUAUUU
Molecule: small nuclear RNA, 107 nt
Organism: Ursus americanus (American black bear)
Lineage: Eukaryota; Metazoa; Chordata; Mammalia; Carnivora; Ursidae
Source: Ensembl